Molecule: long non-coding RNA, 473 nt
Filed under: Monodelphis domestica (gray short-tailed opossum)
Lineage: Eukaryota; Metazoa; Chordata; Mammalia; Didelphimorphia; Didelphidae
Description: lncRNA (ENSMODG00000040164.1)
Source: RNAcentral
UAACUAAACUGACAAGAGAGUGUUUAACUGACUCUUUUGAUAGUUAGAAAGAUGGUUCCAAUGGAGUAGGUAACAGGUCAAGGAUGUGAGGGACUUUUCCCCAGGUUUUUCUCUCUUUAAACAAUUGCACUUGAUUGAUGGUUUCCUGGACUCUUGAAUAGUGGCUAAACUGCCACUACACACACAUCCAUUCAAGAUCUCUGGUUGUGUGCUUUAAAAACACCUGUUCCUUCAAUGGUGGUGGAUAGCUUUCUUUAUUAUGAAUCUCUUGGAACUGACCUAGGUUUGACAAUAAAACAGUAUCAGCUUGAUAAAUGGCAUAGUUACUUGGUUGUAUCACUGAAUUGGUCUAUUUUUCAAGAAAUGCACAUGUGGAAACUUUCCAGAGUCUUUCAUCUCUGAGGUGUGUAUGUAUGUACAUGUUCAUGUGUGUACAAAUGUGCAGUCUAAGUAAAGAAAGAGAUGGAGAGACU